UACGAAGGGUGCUAGCGUUGUUCGGAAUCACUGGGCGUAAAGCGUGCGUAGGCGGCUUGACAAGUCUGACGUGAAAGCCCGGGGCUUAACCCCGGAUGUGCGUUGGAAACUGUCUUGCUGGAGGACGGAAGAGGAGAGUGGAAUUCCUAGUGUAGAGGUGAAAUUCGUAGAUAUUAGGAGGAACACCAGUGGCGAAGGCGACUCUCUGGUCCGUUUCUGACGCUGAGGCACGAAAGCGUGGGGAUCAAACAGG
This 253-nucleotide ribosomal RNA is filed under the name uncultured bacterium. RNAcentral describes it as "partial 16S ribosomal RNA". It matches the Rfam family "Bacterial small subunit ribosomal RNA", at positions 524 to 776 of the family's 1533-position model. The record is from RNAcentral.